ACCAGCGUUUGACAUGGCUAGUAUAGUUUCCAGAGAUGGAUUCUUUCAGCUCGGCUGGCUAGCACACAGGUGCUGCAUGGCUGUCGUCAGCUCGUGUCGUGAGAUGUUGGGUUAAGUCCCGCAACGAGCGCAACCCUCAUCCUUAGUUGCCAUCAUUAAGUUGGGCACUCCAAGGAAACUGCCGGUGAUAAGCCGGAGAAAGGUGGUGAUGACGUCAAGUCCUCAUGGCCCUUACGCGCUGGGCUACACACGUGCUACAAUGGCGGUGACAGUGGGCUGCAAACUCGCAAGGGUGAGCAAAUCUCCAAAAGCCGUCUCAGUUCGGAUUGUUCUCUGCAACUCGAGAGCAUGAAGACGGAAUCGCUAGUAAUCGCGGAUCAGCAUGCCGCGAUGAAUACGUUCCCAGGCCUUGUACACACCGCCCGUCACACCAUGGGAGUUGGUUUCACCCGAAGACAGUGCUCUAACCCGCAAGGAAGGAAGUUGACCACGGUGUGAUCAGCGACUGGGGUAGAGUCGU
This 520-nucleotide ribosomal RNA is filed under the name Sphingomonas sp. BAC13P. Its description in RNAcentral is "bacterial SSU rRNA". It matches the Rfam family "Bacterial small subunit ribosomal RNA", at positions 973 to 1489 of the family's 1533-position model. Lineage: Bacteria; Pseudomonadati; Pseudomonadota; Alphaproteobacteria; Sphingomonadales; Sphingomonadaceae. The record is from RNAcentral.